GACGAACGCUGGCGGCGUGCUUAACACAUGCAAGUCGAACGGAAAGGCCCUGCUUUUGGGGUGUUCUCGAGUGGCGAACGGGUGUGUAACACGUGAGUAACCUGCCCGUGACUUUGGGAUAACUUCAGGAAACUGGGGCUAAUACCGGAUAGGAGCUCCUGCUGCAUGGUGGGGUGUGGAAAGUUUCGGCGGUUGGGGAUGGACUCGCGGCUUAUCAGCUUGUUGGUGGGGUAGUGGCUUACCAAGGCUUUGACGGGUAGCCGGCCUGAGAGGGUGACCGGCCACAUUGGGACUGAGAUACGGCCCAGACUCCUACGGGAGGCAGCAGUGGGGAAUAUUGCACAAUGGGCGGAAACCUGAUGCAGCAACGCCGCGUGCGGGAUGACGGCCUUCGGGUUGUAAACCGCUUUCGCCUGUGACGAAGCGUGAGUGACGGUAAUGGGUAAAGAAGCCCCGGCUAACUACGUG
This 468-nucleotide ribosomal RNA is filed under the name uncultured bacterium. Its description in RNAcentral is "partial 16S ribosomal RNA". It matches the Rfam family "Bacterial small subunit ribosomal RNA", at positions 28 to 507 of the family's 1533-position model. The record is from RNAcentral.